UUUUGAGCUUGAUGGAAGAAAGUCGGGACCAAUAUCACAUGGUGCAUCCUCACCAAGCAGCUUAUUGCAGGUGCAAAUAGAAGAGAUUUGCAUUCCACUGCCUGCUCUCUUGUUUCAGGCCAUAAAGAGAUUAAUUGAGUUUGCAUACUUGAUUUGGUUGAGAUGCUUCGUGUUCAAUAACUAGGGCAAAGACCUUAUUAAUGCAUGGAAGAGGUUCUAUCAACAUAAUUUGAGAUAUCACUAUGGAAAAACUGUCAUUUAAUCCUUUUAAGAGGUGAAUCACAUAAUCUGAUUGAUCAUGUGUAACAGUAGCAAGAGCAUCACAAUUGCAAGUUGGAUUACAUGAAGAUGACGGAAUAGGUCUUAGAUUUGUUAACUUAUCCCAGAGUAUUUUCGGAUGUGCAAAGUAAUCGGUGACAGAGAGAUCAACUUGAUGGAAACUAUAGAUCUCUUGUUGCAGAUAUGAGAUUUGAAAAGUCUCCUUGAGCAAAACAAUCCUUCCCCACACCAAUGGCAUUAUCAGGCCCUAUUAUACUCUGAGCUAUAGAAGGAGAAAUAGAACACACUAACCAAGAUAAAACCAUGGUAUUGCAUUUCUGCCAAUUAGAGUGAAGAGGAUCUGUGAUCACAGGAAUGAGAAUUGUACCAUCUACAAAUUGAAGCUUGUUCAUAGAGAGUAAAGCCAUGGUCUUAUGCUGAGAGUAUAGGAGAAACUAAGAUCAACGAUGGAUUCUAGUUUGCAUGAUGAUAAUACAGACUGGAUUAUGGAAGGCAAUUCUUCUGGUCUCGCAAUAGAGUUUGCUUAACUAGCCAUUGAAGGAAGGUUGAAUCUCAGAAAAGGAGUGACUGCUUUUCGAGAAACUGAAAGGAAAAAAAUUACAGGAAUCGAAAAACUUUGAGAGAAUUUUUUCUCUGAUAUCAUAAAAAGAAAAUGAGGAGACAAAUUAUGAAAACUGAGAUUACAUUGAAGAAGAGCUGAGCAGCUUAUUUAUGCCAGCUGCUAAAGAAAACAGUUCCGGCUAACAGCUUUGCAGACUUGCAGACUAAGCACACCAGAAAAGAUUCUUUCCUUAACUAAUUGCUAACUGACUAAAAAUAAAUUAAAACUAUGCUUUGUAUGUUAUCGUGGGCUAGACAAGACUGCUGGUGCGGAGGAUUGGUUUUAUUUGAAGGUCAUACUGUCAAAUUCUAUUCUGUCUGAGCCUAAGAAAUGAGAAGAGGGGCAUCCUCUCUCUCUCUCUCUCUCACACGCACACACACACAGAGACACGCCUAAUGGCUUCUCUUUUCAGAGACCUCUCAUUAGGCCAUUCCAAGAGAGAGUAAACUCCACCGCUGCUACAACCGCCACCAACAAUGUCUUCUAAACUAAUCGCCUCCGAUCUCGACUCUCCACUCGGCCAACUCUCCACCCAGCUCAACGAUUCCGACCUCCGAGCCACCGCCUACGAGAUCUUCGUCGCCGUAUCCCGUACUUCGCCUGGCAAGCCUCUCACCUACAUCUCCAACUCAUCCAACUCCGACUUGUCGACUCACCAUCACUCGCCUAACUCGCCAGCGUUGCAGCGCUCGCUCAAUUCCGCCGCUGCCAGUAAAAUGAAAAAGGCCUUUGGUUUGAAAUCGCCAGGCUCCGGUUCCAAGAAGAGCCCCGGUUCGGGUCCGGGCUCGGGCCAGGGGAAGUCCCGGCGGUCUUUGACUGUUGGAGAGUUGAUGAGGAGCCAAAUGCGGGUGUUGGAGACUACAGAUUCGAGGAUUAGGAAAGCUCUUGUGAGGAUUGCUGCUGGUCAGGUUGGAAGGCGAAUAGAGUCGGUUGUUCUCCCGCUAGAGCUAUUACAGCAGCUUAAGCAUUCAGAUUUUGCUGAUCUACAAGAAUAUGAAACAUGGCAGAAGAGAACUAUGAAAGUUCUUGAGGCUGGACUUCUUAUGCAUCCUCGUGUAUCCCUUGAAAAGUCAAAUCCUACUUCACAGCGGCUGCGGCAAAUUAUCAAUGGUGCUUUGGAUAGGCCUAUAGAAACUGGAAAGAAUAAUGAGUCAAUGCAAGUUCUUCGUAGUGCUGUUACAUCUCUUGCCAAUAGAUCUGAUGGAUCUUUUUCUGAGAUAUGCCACUGGGCUGAUGGGAUUCCAUUGAAUCUCCGCCUCUAUGAAAUGCUUUUAGAAGCCUGCUUUGAUGUUAAUGAUGAAACAUCUAUAAUAGAGGAAGUUGAUGAGCUUAUGGAACACAUAAAGAAGACUUGGACUAUCCUUGGAAUGAAUCAAAUGCUCCACAACCUCUGCUUUACAUGGGUCUUAUUUCACCGCUUUGUUGCAACUGGCCAAGUGGAAACAGAUCUACUUGAUGCUGCUGAUGGUCAGCUGGCUGAAGUUGCUAAAGAUGCUAAGACGACAAAGGAUCCACAAUACUCCAAGGUUUUGAGUUCUACAUUGAGUUGUAUAUUGGGUUGGUCAGAGAAAAGGCUCCUUGCAUAUCACGAAACAUUUGAUAGUGGAAAUAUUGAGGCCAUGCAGAGCAUUGUUUCUCUUGGGGUUUCAGCAGCCAAGAUUUUAGUUGAGGAUAUAUCUAAUGAGUACCGCAGAAAGAGGAAAGGUGAAGUUGAUGUAGCUCGAAGUAGGAUUGACACCUACAUCAGGUCCUCACUGCGUACUGUUUUUGCUCAGAGAAUGGAGAAAGCAGACUCAAGCAGAAGAGCAUCCAAAAAUCAGCCCAAUCCUCUUCCUGUUCUGGCAAUCCUUGCAAAGGAUGUUGGAGAGCUGGCACUUAAUGAGAAGCGAGUAUUUAGUCCAAUACUGAAGAGAUGGCACCCUUUGGCAGCAGGUGUGGCUGUGGCCACACUGCAUGCUUGCUAUGGAAAUGAGCUAAAACAGUUCAUAUCCGGCAUAAUGGAAUUAACACCAGAUGCUGUACAAGUGCUGAGAGCUGCAGAUAAACUGGAGAAAGAUCUUGUGCAAAUUGCUGUAGAAGAUUCUGUAGAUAGUGAUGAUGGUGGGAAGGCAAUAAUCCGCGAAAUGCCUCCAUAUGAAGCUGAAGCUGCAAUUGCCAAUCUGGUAAAAGCAUGGAUCAAAGCAAGACUGGAUAGACUCAAGGAAUGGGUCGACAGAAAUUUGCAACAAGAGGUCUGGAAUCCACAAGCAAAUCAAGAAGGAUUUGCUCCAUCUGCUGUUGAAGUCCUAAGAAUUAUUGAUGAAACUUUGGAUGCAUAUUUUCAGCUACCAAUACCAAUGCAUCCAGCAUUGCUACCAGAUUUGAUGUCUGGCUUGGAUAGGUGUCUUCAAUAUUAUGCAAGCAAGGCAAAAUCGGGCUGUGGAUCACGGAACACAUAUGUACCAACUAUGCCAGCAUUAACCAGAUGCACAACAGGAUCAAAGUUUCAAGGUGUGUGGAAAAAGAAAGAGAAGUCACCAAAUCCUCAGAAGAAGAAUUCUCAGGUUGCAACAAUGAAUGGUGAUAAUUCUUUUGGGAUACCCCAGCUGUGUGUGCGUAUAAACACAUUGCACCGAAUCCGAACAGAGUUGGAUGUUUUGGAAAAGAGGAUAAUAACUCAUCUAAGGAACUCUGAAUCAGCUCAUACAGAAGACUUUUCAAAUGGCUUGGCAAAGAAGUUUGAACUUACACCAUCUGCUUGUGUGGAAGGAGUUCAACAACUCAGUGAGGCACUGGCUUAUAAAAUUGUUUUUCAUGAUUUGAGUCAUGUUCUGUGGGAUGGUUUGUACGUUGGGGAGCCAUCAUCUUCUAGAAUUGAGCCUUUUCUUCGGGAGCUUGAGCGGAACUUGAUCAUUAUAUCAGAUACCAUGCAUGAAAGAGUUCGAACUCGGGUUGUUACUGACCUAAUGAGAGCUUCUUUUGAUGGAUUUUUGCUUGUUUUGCUUGCUGGAGGCCCCUCCCGUGCUUUCACCCGUCAGGAUUCUGAAAUAAUAGAGGAUGAUUUUAAAUCCAUUAAAGAUCUAUUUUUGGCCAAUGGGGAUGGCUUGCCUGCUGAGUUAAUAGAUAAGUUUUCAGUCACAGUAAGAGGCAUUCUUCCCCUUUAUCGAACUGAUACAGAGAGCCUGAUCGACCGUUUCAGACGUGUCACAUUGGAGGCAUAUGGCUCUUCUGCCAGGUCUAGGCUUCCAUUACCUCCAACUUCAGGAGAGUGGAACCCUACCGAACCAAACACACUCCUUCGUGUGUUGUGUUACCGGAAUGAUGAAGCAGCAACAAAGUUCCUCAAGAAGACCUAUAAUUUGCCUAAGAAACUGUAACAAAUUUGAGGCACUGUGCAUGCUACUGAGGCAAGCCACUUGCAGGGGGUACUGCAUAUGCAGAACAUAACAGAACAGAACGCUACACUCUCAUAGUUGUAUUUAGCAAUUAUGAUCCAGACAGGUUUGUUCACGUCAUAGUUGGGCGGGCUGUUUGGUGCCUUGGAAAUUAGCAGUGAAUUUGUAUAGUACAUUAGAAGUGUCUUGGCUAAGUCUAUUUGCAUUUGAACAGGAUUCACAGUUGGAGUGCAGGAAAAACUAAGAGAGGUGUGAGACCUUGCAAGCUUUACUUGUUGGAGGACGUAAGUGGAGAUCCAGUAUUAUU
Molecule: unclassified non-coding RNA, 4561 nt
Filed under: Hevea brasiliensis (rubber tree)
Lineage: Eukaryota; Viridiplantae; Streptophyta; Magnoliopsida; Malpighiales; Euphorbiaceae
Source: RNAcentral